This is a long non-coding RNA of Peromyscus eremicus (cactus mouse), 1292 nucleotides long. RefSeq lists it as uncharacterized. The transcript has 2 exons. Lineage: Eukaryota; Metazoa; Chordata; Mammalia; Rodentia; Cricetidae. The record is from RefSeq and is a predicted model, not a curated record.
CACACGCACACGCACUCACUCACUGCCCAGCUCUUUCCACAGUUCCUUCACAUAGCUCUUCCUUCAUGGCAGCAGCUCUUUCAUCCAGCUCUACACGGCCAUCUCUCUCCAUACCACAGCUGCUGCCCCACAACCAAACUCUGGACAAUUAUAAGUUACAUUUCAGGGCCAUACCCAUUCUCAAAACAAGGUAAGUCAUGUAGUUUCUCUUGGGCUAGUAAUGUCACAUUGGCCCAUGCACGUAGCUCGAAGUUGGUGAGGGAUCCCCGACAGUAAACAGUUGGCUGAACCUUGAGCAGUCAGGGUACGUGCAGAAAGAGAGCUGCUGCAGGGAGCUCUAUCUCAAUGUAAACAGCCUGGCCUUGAUUGAGCAGUAAACAACACCUGGGAGUUAGUGUCGGUGUAUAUUCUGUAGGGACAGCUUUGUCUGUUUUGAAUUUGUUCUGAAGCCUAAAAUUAGCUGUCUUUGAGACUGAGAAUGCUGUUACUUUCCUGUGUCAGUAAAGAAGAACAUUCUGGUGUUAUUUCUAUACAUCAGAAUUAUACAGCUUAAACAGAAAUCCACAGCUAAAUGUGUGCCCCAAGAUGUAAUAUUUUCUUGAGACACGCAGUGGGAAAACACCCAUAGCUGUUUUUAGAAAAGAAAUAUAGCACAUGAGAGAAUAACAGACAGGAGCAGCAGGUCAGUAGCAGUAACUCCACGGCUUUGGCAAGUGGGGCUCCCCACCAGGGACUUACAUGUCUGGUGGGUAGACUUGUCAAACACUAGUUGUCACCUGCUGUAUACUCCCGUAGCCUUAGGCAGUGUGCACCACCACUGCCUGGAUGGAGUUCUCUUUGACAAGUCAGUAUCCCUGCAAACACCUGUUCCCCCAGUUCCGACAGCGGUGGAGACAGGGGGAUCACUUGAACUUGCUGACUUCUAGCCUAGCUGAGAAUGAGCCCCAGGUCCAGGAAGAGGCCUUUUAUGAGAGGAACAGGUAGAGAGUGUUGGAAGUGGACCCUCAACACCCACUUCUGGCUUCUGGGUGCGAGUUUAGGUGCGCAUCUAAACACGUGUAAACAAAAAACGAAAGCAAAGGAGGACGGUGAAAUGGCAUUGUGUAAAGGUGUUUAUUCACCAGUCCGAUGACUCAGCUUUGAUCCCUCAAACCUGCACUGUUGGACAGACAGCUGCAAGUUGUCCCACAGGAUACACAAAUGAGUUAAAAACAGGUGGUGUGGGUGCUGAAACAGAGUAGAGGCAGGGGAGCAGCUUGCUGCAGUUCCCUGCUUAGUCAUCCGAGAGUCAU